GCCCCUGUGGUGGAACUGGUAUACACGACGGCCUGAGGAGCCGUGCCCGAGAUGGGCAUGCGGGUUCGAGUCCCGCUGGGGGCACUA
Molecule: transfer RNA, 87 nt
Filed under: Armatimonadetes bacterium CG07_land_8_20_14_0_80_40_9
Lineage: Bacteria; Bacillati; Armatimonadota
Description: tRNA-Leu
Rfam family: tRNA
About the family: Transfer RNA (tRNA) molecules are approximately 80 nucleotides in length.
Source: RNAcentral